Molecule: non-coding RNA, 664 nt
Organism: Pelodiscus sinensis (Chinese soft-shelled turtle)
Lineage: Eukaryota; Metazoa; Chordata; Testudines; Trionychidae
Source: RefSeq, a predicted model, not a curated record
GCCAAGUGCACCAGGCUAGGAGAGGGCAGCGGGUUGGAGUGGAGCAAGCCGCUGGGUGAGGGUAAGGAGGGGUCAAACCUGCUGCCACCCCACACCAGGCCUCUGGUAAUUUCCACAAAAGACAUGGAAACUAAAUCCACCUCAGCACUCCCAAAGAGUUAAUCCACGCUAAAAUGUUUUUUAAAGGCCAGAGCCGUCUGCUAAAGUCGAGCAGGGCCAAAUGGAUUAAAGCUUUGUGCUGAACUUGAUUUCGAACAGAAGUUUCCAACUAUUCAGAGAUUCACCGAGUUGAAGACCAGAAGCUACCGUUAGAUCAGCUAGUGAUCUGCUUAGAAGCAGAAUUGGAUGUGCCAAAACAGAUGCCCUCCUAGCAGUAUGGAGCACAAAUAAGUUGGAGAGCCGUUUCUGCUUCUGAGGGGUGUUAAAGGCAAGGUCCUUGGAUCAUCCUGGGAUCAGGAACUUGAAUACUGCAGCAAAUCAUCUGCAGAGUAGAAGCUGGUUAUAUGGGAAGUGAUUCUUCAACAAAUAAUGGACACCAUUCACAGCAGGUGGUUUCAUGUUUUUAUUACAAGCCCUGGGAUACGUCUAUAAAAUGUUAAGAGCAGUUGUUAACCACCGACUCCACCAUUUGUUGUUCAAAGCAACUGAAAUACAGUAUACUAAU